CUACCAUUGACAGGAAUGUUUGCACUCCAGGUGAAACUUUAUCUAUUGUUGCCAAAAUCUGCAACUCCUCUUCCAAGAACACGAGACCCAAAAUCAAACUUGAACAAAAAACAGUCUACCGCAGCAAGUACAAUAGUGAGAAGUUACUUAAAAAUCUAUUCAAAGAGGCCGGGCGCACUAUCAGUCCAAACUCAGAGCAAACUGUCUCCUGCCAGUUGAAGAUUCCUGAUGAUGCCAUCUCCACUAUCCAUAACUGUGAAAUCAUCUCAGUUGAAUAUUAUGUUAAGGUAUUAAACAAUUUCUUGGUGACAUUACAUCCCCUCAGAAAUAAAAUUGUGUUAUAUGUAAACAUUUUUGGAUAAAUAAGCUACAUGAGAAAUUUGUAACUUAACUACGUAUUAAUUAAAACAGAAAUUAAUCAUUCUUUACACUUGUCCUCAAUUUCUGACUGUUUCCCAGGUUUCUUUGGACAUUAGCUUUGCCUUUGACCCAGAGGUGGUGUUUCCACUGAUCAUCGUUCCUUCCAGAUUUGCAGCCAUUC
Molecule: long non-coding RNA, 541 nt
Organism: Oreochromis aureus
Lineage: Eukaryota; Metazoa; Chordata; Actinopteri; Cichliformes; Cichlidae
Source: Ensembl